RNAcentral lists this ribosomal RNA (460 nucleotides) under uncultured bacterium. RNAcentral describes it as "partial 16S ribosomal RNA". It matches the Rfam family "Bacterial small subunit ribosomal RNA", at positions 338 to 795 of the family's 1533-position model. The record is from RNAcentral.
CCUACGGGAGGCAGCAGUGAGGAAUAUUGGUCAAUGGACGAGAGUCUGAACCAGCCAAGUAGCGUGAAGGAUGACUGCCCUAUGGGUUGUAAACUUCUUUUAUAUGGGAAUAAAACGUUCCACGUGUGGGAUUUUGUAUAUACCAUAUGAAUAAGGAUCGGCUAACUCCGUGCCAGCAGCCGCGGUAAUACGGAGGAUCCGAGCGUUAUCCGGAUUUAUUGGGUUUAAAGGGAGCGUAGGUGGAUUGUUAAGUCAGUUGUGAAAGUUUGCGGUUCAACCGUAAAAUUGCAGUUGAAACUGGCAGUCUUGAGUACAGUAGAGGUGGGCGGAAUUCGUGGUGUAGCGGUGAAAUGCUUAGAUAUCACGAAGAACUCCGAUUGCGAAGGCAGUUCACUGGACUGCAACUGACACUGAGGCUCGAAAGUGUGGGUAUCAAACAGGAUUAGAUACCCUUGUAGUC